GUCUCUUCGGAGACAUCUGAUAAAAUUGGAACGAUACAGAGAAGGUUAGCAUGGACCCUGCACAAGGAUGACACGCACAACUCGAGACUAGGUCCGUACUUUU
Molecule: small nuclear RNA, 103 nt
Organism: Beta vulgaris subsp. vulgaris (sugar beet)
Lineage: Eukaryota; Viridiplantae; Streptophyta; Magnoliopsida; Caryophyllales; Amaranthaceae
Source: Rfam